RNAcentral lists this ribosomal RNA (492 nucleotides) under uncultured bacterium. Its description in RNAcentral is "partial 16S ribosomal RNA". It matches the Rfam family "Bacterial small subunit ribosomal RNA", at positions 29 to 507 of the family's 1533-position model. The record is from RNAcentral.
AGUGAACGCUGGCGGCAGGCCUAACACAUGCAAGUCGAACGGCAGCACAGUAAGAGCUUGCUCUUACGGGUGGCGAGUGGCGGACGGGUGAGGAAUACAUCGGAAUCUACUUUUUCGUGGGGGAUAACGUAGGGAAACUUACGCUAAUACCGCAUACGACCUACGGGUGAAAGCAGGGGAUCUUCGGACCUUGCGCGAUUGAAUGAGCCGAUGUCGGAUUAGCUAGUUGGCGGGGUAAAGGCCCACCAAGGCGACGAUCCGUAGCUGGUCUGAGAGGAUGAUCAGCCACACUGGAACUGAGACACGGUCCAGACUCCUACGGGAGGCAGCAGUGGGGAAUAUUGGACAAUGGGCACAAGCCUGAUCCAGCCAUACCGCGUGGGUGAAGAAGGCCUUCGGGUUGUAAAGCCCUUUUGUUGGGAAAGAAAAGCAGCAGGUUAAUACCCCGCUGUUCUGACGGUACCCAAAGAAUAAGCACCGGCUAACUUCGUG